AUGUUUCUUAGGAUAUGGGAGGUGCAAAGACAAAAAUGAAGCAGUUCCUACUCUUAAGAACUUGGACAGGAUGAUAUAGAAAGAUGGAUUAAACUUUAAGGGAAGAAAGGUUGCUGAAUGAUGAUUGCCAGAGAGUCUACAAGUGAAAUUGGCUAAUACCUGAAGAAUGUUGUCGCUUUCCAUCUGACUCAUUUGGCUCAUCGAAGGAAAUGUUCCUAGUGUGAAUAAUAAUGCCUCCUGUCAUAAUGAGAAUUGGCCUCAUUACAUUUGAAUCAGGAUUGUCACAUCGGUUAGAGAAUGCCAAGCUACUCCUGGUGAAUUCAAGUCAGCGGACACAGAUGAACUAUAUCCCAGUAUACUAAAAGAAACAAACAAACCCCCAAACUGAAUGAUGUCAUUGUUUAACCACUUAUCCACUAUCAGUGAUCUCUAAAAUAUCAUGGAGAAAGAAAGAAAUGUUGUGGAAUUGAAGAAGAGAAAAUAUUGUCCUCAUUACCAAGAGAGGGACAGUCUGAAAAAUGAAGACCAGUGAUUUCUUUAAUUCAAUUCCUGUCAAAGUUCUAGAAUGUAUUAUUAAAAGGGCAAUCAAUUAACAUCCAGAAAAAGGAAGGACUAAUAUGGCAUCAUCAAGAUCAGGCUAUGAUAGCCUAAAAUGAUUUCCUUUGUUGUCAUGAUUUCUAAGUAGGUAAGAAAGGCAAUAAAGUAGCGGGUAGAAAGAUGACUUUGGAACCA
Monodelphis domestica (gray short-tailed opossum) is the source of this 732-nucleotide long non-coding RNA. Lineage: Eukaryota; Metazoa; Chordata; Mammalia; Didelphimorphia; Didelphidae. The record is from Ensembl.